Molecule: ribosomal RNA, 253 nt
Filed under: uncultured Kocuria sp.
Lineage: Bacteria; Bacillati; Actinomycetota; Actinomycetes; Micrococcales; Micrococcaceae
Description: partial 16S ribosomal RNA
Rfam family: Bacterial small subunit ribosomal RNA
Source: RNAcentral
UACGUAGGGCGCAAGCGUUGUCCGGAAUUAUUGGGCGUAAAGAGCUCGUAGGCGGCUUGUCGCGUCUGCGGUGAAAGCCCGGGGCUUAACUCCGGGUGUGCAGUGGGUACGGGCAGGCUAGAGUGCAGUAGGGGUAACUGGAAUUCCUGGUGUAGCGGUGAAAUGCGCAGAUAUCAGGAGGAACACCGAUGGCGAAGGCAGGUUACUGGGCUGUUACUGACGCUGAGGAGCGAAAGCAUGGGGAGCGAACAGG